This 87-nucleotide transfer RNA is filed under the name Escherichia coli. RNAcentral describes it as "tRNA-Leu". It matches the Rfam family "tRNA". From Rfam's summary of the family: Transfer RNA (tRNA) molecules are approximately 80 nucleotides in length. Their secondary structure includes four short double-helical elements and three loops (D, anti-codon, and T loops). The record is from RNAcentral. RNAcentral also lists the same sequence under 12 other names. Lineage: Bacteria; Pseudomonadati; Pseudomonadota; Gammaproteobacteria; Enterobacterales; Enterobacteriaceae.
GCCCAGAUGGUGAAAUCGGUAGACACAAGGGAUUUAAAAUCCCUCGGCGGCAACGCUGUGCGGGUUCAAGUCCCGCUCUGGGCACCA